RNAcentral lists this ribosomal RNA (390 nucleotides) under Oxyrrhis marina. Its description in RNAcentral is "partial Bacterial large subunit ribosomal RNA". It matches the Rfam family "Bacterial large subunit ribosomal RNA", at positions 799 to 1186 of the family's 2925-position model. Lineage: Eukaryota; Dinophyceae; Oxyrrhinales; Oxyrrhinaceae. The record is from RNAcentral.
AGGGGAUGAGUUGUGGAUAGGGGUGAAAGGCCAAUCAAACACCGUGAUAGCUGGUUCUCCCCGAAAUGCAUUUAGGUGCAGCGUUGCGUGUUUCUUGCCGGAGGUAGAGCUACUGGAUGGCCGAUGGGCCCUACAAGGUUACUGACGUCAGCCAAACUCCGAAUGCCGGUAAGUGAGAGCGCAGCAGUGAGACUGUGGGGGAUAAGCUUCAUAGUCGAGAGGGAAACAGCCCAGAUCAUCAGCUAAGGCCCCUAAGUGGUGACUCAGUGGGAAAGGAUGUGGAGUUGCGUAGACAACCAGGAGGUUGGCUUGGAAGCAGCCAUCCUUGAAAGAGUGCGUAAUAGCUCACUGGUCAAGUGAUUCCGCGCCGAUAAUGUAGCGGGGCUUAAG